Molecule: ribosomal RNA, 468 nt
Filed under: uncultured fungus
Lineage: Eukaryota; Fungi
Description: SSU rRNA
Rfam family: Eukaryotic small subunit ribosomal RNA
Source: RNAcentral
AAAGCUCGUAGUUGAAUCUUGGGCCUGGCUGGCCGGUCCGCCUCACCGCGUGUACUGGUCCGGCCGGGUCUUUCACUCUGCGGAACCACAUGCCCUUCAGUGGGUGUGGCGGGGAAGCAGGACUUUUACUUUGAAAAAAUUAGAGUGCUCUAAGCAGGCCAAUGCUCGAAUACAUUAGCAUGGAAUAAUAAAAUAGGACGCGCGGUUCUAUUUUGUUGGUUUCUAGGACCGCCGUAAUGAUGAAUAGGGACAGUCGGGGGCAUCAGUAUUCAGUUGUCAGAGGUGAAAUUCUUGGAUCUACUGAAGACUAACUACUGCGAAAGCAUUUGCCAAGGAUGUUUUCAUUAAUCAGGAACGAAAGUUAGGGGAUCGAAGACGAUCAGAUACCGUCGUAGUCUUAACCAUAAACUAUGCCGACUAGGGAUCGGACGAUGUUAUUUAGUUGACUCGUUCGGCACCUUACGGGAA